GUCGGUGCGCAAUGGUUGCAAGCCGGACUCCAAAUCCGUGUUGCGAGGGUUCAAUUCCUUCCACCGAUG
RNAcentral lists this transfer RNA (69 nucleotides) under Streptomyces sp. SID13031. RNAcentral describes it as "tRNA-Trp". It matches the Rfam family "tRNA". Rfam says of the family: Transfer RNA (tRNA) molecules are approximately 80 nucleotides in length. Their secondary structure includes four short double-helical elements and three loops (D, anti-codon, and T loops). Further hydrogen bonds mediate the characteristic L-shaped molecular structure. tRNAs have two regions of fundamental functional importance: the anti-codon, which is responsible for specific mRNA codon recognition, and the 3' end, to which the tRNAs corresponding amino acid is attached (by aminoacyl-tRNA synthetases). tRNAs cope with the degeneracy of the genetic code in two manners: having more than one tRNA (with a specific anti-codon) for a particular amino acid; and 'wobble' base-pairing, i.e. permitting non-standard base-pairing at the 3rd anti-codon position. Lineage: Bacteria; Bacillati; Actinomycetota; Actinomycetes; Kitasatosporales; Streptomycetaceae. The record is from RNAcentral.